GUGGGGAAUAUUGGGCAAUGGGCGCAAGCCUGACCCAGCAACGCCGCGUGAAGGAAGAAGGCUUUCGGGUUGUAAACUUCUUUUACCAGGGACGAAAAAAAUGACGGUACCUGGAGAAUAAGCCACGGCUAACUACGUGCCAGCAGCCGCGGUAAUACGUAGGUGGCAAGCGUUGUCCGGAUUUACUGGGUGUAAAGGGCGCGUAGGCGGGAGAGCAAGUCAGGAGUGAAAUCUAUGGGCUUAACCCAUAAAUUGCUUUUGAAACUGUUUUUCUUGAGUGAUGGAGAGGCAAGCGGAAUUCCUAGUGUAGCGGUGAAAUGCGUAGAUAUUAGGAGGAACACCAGUGGCGAAGGCGGCUUUCUGGACUGUAACUGACACUGAGGCACGAAAGCGUGGGGAGCAAACAGGAUUAGAAACCCUGGUAGUCC
This 428-nucleotide ribosomal RNA is filed under the name uncultured bacterium. Its description in RNAcentral is "partial 16S ribosomal RNA". It matches the Rfam family "Bacterial small subunit ribosomal RNA", at positions 354 to 796 of the family's 1533-position model. The record is from RNAcentral.